GGGCUGGGAGGACCCGAGCAACUGCUCCGUGUGAACUGUGCCGACGGGCGGGAGGAUGGGAGCCGGGAACUGAGAGUCGCGGAGGAAGGACACGGGCGGCCGGCGUCUCACCGGUGAGCUUAAAAGAUUGCCAUUUAGUGUCAUUCAGGAUCUACUAAGCAUCAUUUUUGCAUGACUACAGAAAAAGGAUAUCUUUACAGAACCAGUUCCUUUUUGAAGUUCAUAAUCUGGGCCAUCUUCAGACAGAAGGGCAUUUGUUAAUGAAGAAACAUCAGAGCUGCUAAAUACACCAGGACACGGGGGAUCCUAGUGACCAAGGAUGGCUUCCUCUUGGAAACUUAUUCUGUUUCUGUCAGUCACUGGAUGUCUUUCAGGUAAAAAGCUUUUCUUUUGUAUCAAAUAACAAAAAUAUAUAAAGAUCUUCAUUCACUAUAUCCUCAGGUGUUCAUUUAAAUUUUAAAUCAGUAUUCAAACUUUUCCACAGAAGAAAGAGAAAACAAUCCUUAUACCUUUGUUAACACUGCAGAAAGUCACAUAUAAUAAGGUACUUAGAAAAAUACCAUAGAAG
Non-coding RNA from Vicugna pacos (alpaca), 568 nucleotides. Lineage: Eukaryota; Metazoa; Chordata; Mammalia; Artiodactyla; Camelidae. The record is from RefSeq and is a predicted model, not a curated record.